RNAcentral lists this ribosomal RNA (443 nucleotides) under uncultured bacterium. Its description in RNAcentral is "partial 16S ribosomal RNA". It matches the Rfam family "Bacterial small subunit ribosomal RNA", at positions 338 to 795 of the family's 1533-position model. The record is from RNAcentral.
CCUACGGGGGGCAGCAGUGGGGAAUAUUGGGCAAUGGGCGCAAGUCUGACCCAGCAACGCCGCGUGAAGGAAGAAGGCUUUCGGGUUGUAAACUUCUUUUCUGAGGGACGAAGAAAGUGACGGUACCUCAGGAAUAAGCCACGGCUAACUACGUGCCAGCAGCCGCGGUAAUACGUAGGGGGCAAGCGUUAUCCGGAUUUACUGGGUGUAAAGGGGGAGUAGGCGGGAAAGCAAGUCAGAUGUGAAAACUCAGGGCUCAACCCUGAGCCUGCAUUGGAAACUGUUUGUCUAGAGUGCUGGAGAGGCAAUCGGAAUUCCGUGUGUAGCGGUGAAAUGCGUAGAUAUAAGGAGGAACACCAGUGGCGAAGGCGGAUUGCUGGACAGUAACUGACGCUGAGGCGCGAAAGCGUGGGGAGCAAACAGGAUUAGAUACCCCUGUAGUC